AGCUGGUCCAAGUACAGUGGUAUUUACAACUAAGUCGUCACAACCACUUACAGAUUUCUUUGUUCCUCUCUAUGCGCACUGCUUCACUUGACAAACCUUAA
This 101-nucleotide non-coding RNA is filed under the name Carlito syrichta (Philippine tarsier). The record is from Rfam by way of RNAcentral. Lineage: Eukaryota; Metazoa; Chordata; Mammalia; Primates; Tarsiidae.